This 497-nucleotide ribosomal RNA is filed under the name uncultured bacterium. RNAcentral's name for it is "partial 16S ribosomal RNA". It matches the Rfam family "Bacterial small subunit ribosomal RNA", at positions 28 to 507 of the family's 1533-position model. The record is from RNAcentral.
GAUGAACGCUGGCGGCGUGCCUAAUACAUGCAAGUCGAGCGAACGGACGAGAAGCUUGCUUGUCUGAUGUUAGCGGCGGACGGGUGAGUAACACGUGGAUAACCUACUUAUAAGACUGGGAGAACGUCGGGAAACCGGAGCUAAUACCGGAUAAUAUCUUGAACCGCAUGGUUCAAAAGUGAAAGACGGUCUUGCGGUCACGUAUAGAUGGAUCCGCGCUGCAUGAGCUAGUUGGUAAGGUAACGGCUUACCAAGGCAACGAUGCAUAGCCGACCUGAGAGGGUGAUCGCCCACACUGGAACUGAGCCACGGUCCAGACUCCUACGGGAGGCAGCAGUAGGGAAUCUUCCGCAAUGGGCGAAAGCCUGACGGAGCAACGCCGCGUGAGUGAUGAAGGUCUUCGGAUCGUAAAACUCUGUUAUUAGGGAAGAACAUAUGUGUAAGUAACUGUGCACAUCUUGACGGUACCUAAUCAGAAAGCCACGGCUAACUACGUG